UACGUAGGGUGCGAGCGUUGUCCGGAAUUAUUGGGCGUAAAGAGCUCGUAGGCGGCCUGUUGCGUCUGCUGUGAAAGCCCGGGGCUUAACCCCGGGUCUGCAGUGGAUACGGGCAGGCUAGAGUUCGGCAGGGGAGACUGGAAUUCCUGGUGUAGCGGUGAAAUGCGCAGAUAUCAGGAGGAACACCGGUGGCGAAGGCGGGUCUCUGGGCCGAUACUGACGCUGAGGAGCGAAAGCGUGGGGAGCGAACAGGAUUAGAUACCCUGGUAGUCCACGCCGUAAACGUUGGGCGCUAGGUGUGGGGUCCCUUCCACGGGUUCCGUGCCGUAGCUAACGCAUUAAGCGCCCCGCCUGGGGAGUACGGCCGCAAGGCUAAA
RNAcentral lists this ribosomal RNA (377 nucleotides) under uncultured bacterium. RNAcentral describes it as "bacterial SSU rRNA". It matches the Rfam family "Bacterial small subunit ribosomal RNA", at positions 524 to 898 of the family's 1533-position model. The record is from RNAcentral.